Molecule: small nuclear RNA, 106 nt
Organism: Trichosurus vulpecula (common brushtail)
Lineage: Eukaryota; Metazoa; Chordata; Mammalia; Diprotodontia; Phalangeridae
Source: RefSeq, a predicted model, not a curated record
AUGUUCACUUUCUCAGUAUACAUACUAAUAUUAGAAAAUACAGAAGAGGCUAGCGUGUCCCCUAUGCAAGGAUAACAUGUAAAAUCAUUAAGUAUUUUAUAUUUUU